GGAAGAACGCUCAAUAUUCGCACGUGGAUGCUCGCCUGUUUAAGCUGCACCGCUCCACAUUCUUCUUUUAACCGAACGUUCUUGGGUCUUAUAUUUGCGGGUUACCCACUCAAGUAAAAAAAAGCAGAUUGAAGCUUACAAGCGUGCUGUCCUGGAAGGUGAUUGCUUCGUGAUACAACUACCCCACCUCUGUGCCACUGGAAUACAGGCGCACCUCUAAGGAAUAUGCAUCAAAUGUACGCAGUUGCCAUUUUUUGGGGCGUUUGGCUUCAUGUGACUGCAAGCACCACGAAUGUGAGUGUGAAGAAGAACGCAACACCCACGACUUUCGUCAAUGACCAACAUCAACACGUGCAGCCGGUGAUGAACAAGGACGGCCAGGUUGAUGCUAGAAAUAUUCAUUUUAGCAACCAGACAUCUUUGACCAAAUUAAAAAUACAUUCUAUGACUGAGGGUCCUAACAAUGACGACCCCACUGAAGCAAACUAUGAAUACAUUACCGACAAUACUUCUGAGGAAGAAACAAUAGGUCACAAAAAAGACAAACGACAGGUCACAACUGCUACGAUAAAUUCUACAAUUGAGGGUCCUAACAAUGACCUGGCCACUGAAGCAAACAAUGAAUACAUUAACGGCAUUGGCGACCAUGAUAUUACUUCUCAGGAAGAAACAAUAGGUCACAAAAAAUACAAACAACAGGUCACAACUGCAACGAUAAAUGUGGAAAAAUGUAAUGUUCUAUGUGGUAAAAAGACGUACGCGAUCGUCAUACUUGUGUUGACCUUCAUAUGCAUUGCAUUCAUGGUGUCGACAAUCAUCUUGGGCUGCAAGGUGGCUCUCUCAGCCGACACGAAACACGGCGAAGUGCAACAAGAUCAUCUCAUCUGUAUCUCUGCCAUGACCGGAGAGACCCAACCGUUUGCUUUUGACCUUGUUACAGGUGCAGCUCUGCCAGAGCAGAGUGGGUCUAUGCAUCGUAUGAGCUUGAUUAAUACGCGUGCACUGGUGUGAGCUUCAGUCAGCGGUGGUGAACAUUUUUUUUCGCUGGGGGCCGAAUACAAUGGGCUUUUUUCCACCUUGUACAAAGAGGCCCUUGCAGUAACAGACGCGAAUGAGCGUGCUAAAUCUAUAAAAAGUUUUUUAUUUCGAUUUAAAGCUUUCUUGACUGCAGGGAUUCAUCUUCUUGGUUUUUUCGGUAAAGUCACGUAGAAUGGAAAUAAUAAAAUAAUAACAAUAUAAUAAUAAUACAAGAAUAAAAGAAUAAUACAAAAAUAAUAUUGUUAAAUUUUUAUUAUUUUAUUAUUUCCAUUCUAUAAACAGUGUUUGACAUGUCGAAAAGAUUACCCCCAAGUCCCAAUUUGAUGCCGCUAAGAUGCUUGCAGUGACGGAUAAAGAUCAUUUUAGGGCUGUUUUAAAAUGGUUGGCCUCGUGUGGUUGUGGACUGUAGCAAAUGAAGCCGUAGGCAGGAGGUUGCCUACUCCUGGCUUAAGACAACUUUUGACAUUUUGGAAAUGGUGUGUAAUGCAGGAAUGUCGCGGUUAAUUUCCAAAUUACUGUAAAGAAUUCCAACAUAAAAUCGAUACUGAAUGUAUUAUGCUCGUUUAUACUGUGCAUGGAAAACAAACCAAUGAUACUGUAAACAUACUUUUUUUACAUUGUAAAGUGUAAAGAAAUAACAUGUUUCCUCAAAAACCUUUGGAUUAACUUGACAUCACAUUGGGACAUUUUAAUUCAUGUGAAAAACCAGGGCUUAACUUAUUAUGGAAUCUCUUUAGAGGCCCCCUAAACCCCCAACUCACCAGACCCAUCUCCCGAAAUUCCCACCAGCAUUGGGCAGGGAGGUGGUGUGGAGGAAGGGGGCAGAGCAAUCAUUUCCAGAGCUCAGCCCCGGACAUAUCCGGUUGAAAUGAUUGCCCAUAUACAGCUAUAAAUGCGCAGUUUUUGUUUUGCAAAAGCACCCUACUAUUUAAAAUCCCUUUAUGUGUGAUUUGGGGUUGCUUGUUUUCGGUAUUCGAUCUGGGGGGAAAUGUUGUCACCUGAGAGCUACACAACGUUGAAGUACAACAUUAUGCUUUGUUUUCAGAAACAAAUGUGGAUUUUUAUGCAAUAAAACCAGUUUAAUCUCUGUAUUUUUUAAAAGUGUUUAAAGGUUUGUUUUAGGAAAACAUGUUUUUAUUGUAAAUUUGAAAAAAUUAUGUGUAAAAUCAAAACUCUGUUCCACUGUGUUUAAACGAUCCAAUAUCCAAAUCGGUGUUGUUUCGAAGUGAAUUGCUUAUAUUGCUUUAAUUUAUGCAAAUUAUUUUAUAUCGAAACAUUUCCAUUGAUAUUUUAUUGUCAAGUCAAACAUUUAGUGGUUAUCUUGCUCAUAUGAUAAUGAAUGGUGCUGCUCAUCUCCCGUCUACAGCAUUGAGCCAGUGGUGAAAAUUCUGCAUUCAUAUCGCAGAUGGCAAGGUUAUUCAUAGGGUAAUCACUGGCGCCUUUCCCACAACAAAGUGGUACUAAUUUUAUCGACCUCGGAAGGAUUGUGGGUUGAGUCAACCUCCAACUUGCAAACCUUCCGAUUGUGAGCUGCUCACUCUACCACUGCACUACCUGGCCGCUUUGCUUCGUUGCAGCCUCUUUUCCAAAAA
Lethenteron reissneri (Far Eastern brook lamprey) is the source of this 2630-nucleotide long non-coding RNA. RefSeq lists it as uncharacterized. The record is from RefSeq and is a predicted model, not a curated record. Lineage: Eukaryota; Metazoa; Chordata; Hyperoartia; Petromyzontiformes; Petromyzontidae.